Molecule: ribosomal RNA, 896 nt
Filed under: Lactococcus lactis
Lineage: Bacteria; Bacillati; Bacillota; Bacilli; Lactobacillales; Streptococcaceae
Description: bacterial SSU rRNA
Rfam family: Bacterial small subunit ribosomal RNA
Source: RNAcentral
CAGAAGUUUUUUUUUUCUGGCUCAGGACGAACGCUGGCGGCGUGCCUAAUACAUGCAAGUUGAGCGCUGAAGGUUGGUACUUGUACCGACUGGAUGAGCAGCGAACGGGUGAGUAACGCGUGGGGAAUCUGCCUUUGAGCGGGGGACAACAUUUGGAAACGAAUGCUAAUACCGCAUAAAAACUUUAAACACAAGUUUUAAGUUUGAAAGAUGCAAUUGCAUCACUCAAAGAUGAUCCCGCGUUGUAUUAGCUAGUUGGUGAGGUAAAGGCUCACCAAGGCGAUGAUACAUAGCCGACCUGAGAGGGUGAUCGGCCACAUUGGGACUGAGACACGGCCCAAACUCCUACGGGAGGCAGCAGUAGGGAAUCUUCGGCAAUGGACGAAAGUCUGACCGAGCAACGCCGCGUGAGUGAAGAAGGUUUUCGGAUCGUAAAACUCUGUUGGUAGAGAAGAACGUUGGUGAGAGUGGAAAGCUCAUCAAGUGACGGUAACUACCCAGAAAGGGACGGCUAACUACGUGCCAGCAGCCGCGGUAAUACGUAGGUCCCGAGCGUUGUCCGGAUUUAUUGGGCGUAAAGCGAGCGCAGGUGGUUUAUUAAGUCUGGUGUAAAAGGCAGUGGCUCAACCAUUGUAUGCAUUGGAAACUGGUAGACUUGAGUGCAGGAGAGGAGAGUGGAAUUCCAUGUGUAGCGGUGAAAUGCGUAGAUAUAUGGAGGAACACCGGUGGCGAAAGCGGCUCUCUGGCCUGUAACUGACACUGAGGCUCGAAAGCGUGGGGAGCAAACAGGAUUAGAUACCCUGGUAGUCCACGCCGUAAACGAUGAGUGCUAGAUGUAGGGAGCUAUAAGUUCUCUGUAUCGCAGCUAACGCAAUAAGCACUCCCCCCGGGGGGAC